UGUGGCGUGUUAGGGGUAAUUGCCCUGUUUCCGUCUCAUAACCUGAAGGUCGCAGGUUCAAAUCCUGCCCCCGCAACCA
RNAcentral lists this transfer RNA (79 nucleotides) under Parvibaculum sp. Its description in RNAcentral is "tRNA-Met". The record is from RNAcentral. Lineage: Bacteria; Pseudomonadati; Pseudomonadota; Alphaproteobacteria; Hyphomicrobiales; Parvibaculaceae.